GUGCUCACUUUGGCAGCACAUAUGCUAAAAUUGGAACAAUACAGAAAAGGUUAGCAUGGCCCCUGUGCAAGGAUGACACACACAUUCAUGAAGCGUUCCACAUUUGA
Molecule: small nuclear RNA, 107 nt
Organism: Ochotona princeps (American pika)
Lineage: Eukaryota; Metazoa; Chordata; Mammalia; Lagomorpha; Ochotonidae
Source: Ensembl